UUCACACGUCAUACAAUGGUCGGUACAGAGGGUUGCCAAGCCGCGAGGUGGAGCUAAUCUCAGAAAACCGAUCGUAGUCCGGAUCGCACUCUGCAACUCGAGUGCGUGAAGUCGGAAUCGCUAGUAAUCGCAGAUCAGCAUGCUGCGGUGAAUACGUUCCCGGGUCUUGUACACACCGCCCGUCACACCAUGGGAGUGAGUUUCACCAGAAGUGGGUAGGCUAACCGCAAGGAGGCCGCU
RNAcentral lists this ribosomal RNA (240 nucleotides) under Chromobacterium sp. W14_5. RNAcentral's name for it is "partial 16S ribosomal RNA". It matches the Rfam family "Bacterial small subunit ribosomal RNA", at positions 1215 to 1454 of the family's 1533-position model. The record is from RNAcentral. Lineage: Bacteria; Pseudomonadati; Pseudomonadota; Betaproteobacteria; Neisseriales; Chromobacteriaceae.